GAUGAACGCUGGCGGCGUGCCUAACACAUGCAAGUCGAACGGGGUUAAAGAGAAAUUUUCGGAUGGACCUUUAACUUAGUGGCGGACGGGUGAGUAACGCGUGGAUAACCUGCCUCGCACAGGGGGAUAGCAGCUGGAAACGGCUGGUAAUACCGCAUAAGACCACGGUCCCGCAUGGGACAGGGGUAAAAGAUUUAUCGGUGCGAGAUGGAUCCGCGUCUGAUUAGCUUGUUGGCGGGGUAACGGCCCACCAAGGCAACGAUCAGUAGCCGGCCUGAGAGGGUGAACGGCCACAUUGGGACUGAGACACGGCCCAAACUCC
This 322-nucleotide ribosomal RNA is filed under the name uncultured Coriobacteriales bacterium. RNAcentral's name for it is "bacterial SSU rRNA". It matches the Rfam family "Bacterial small subunit ribosomal RNA", at positions 28 to 339 of the family's 1533-position model. The record is from RNAcentral. Lineage: Bacteria; Bacillati; Actinomycetota; Coriobacteriia; Coriobacteriales.